GGAGUUAGCUCAGUGGUAGAGCGCUUGCCUAGGAAGCGCAAGGCCCUGGGUUCGGUCCCCAGCUCCG
Molecule: non-coding RNA, 67 nt
Organism: Rattus norvegicus (Norway rat)
Lineage: Eukaryota; Metazoa; Chordata; Mammalia; Rodentia; Muridae
Source: Rfam